RNAcentral lists this transfer RNA (66 nucleotides) under Pleuropoma jana. Its description in RNAcentral is "tRNA-Met". Lineage: Eukaryota; Metazoa; Mollusca; Gastropoda; Cycloneritida; Helicinidae. The record is from RNAcentral.
UACAGAAUAAGCUAUAUUAUAAGCUACUAGGCUCAUAACUUAGAGAUGAAAUUAUUUCUUUUGUAA